UUAUGGCUCAGGAUGAACGCUGGCGGCGUGCUAACACAUGCAAGUCGAACGAAGCUCUUGGAGCGGAGGCUCGGCCAAAGUGAAGAGAUGACUUAGUGGCGGACGGGUGAGUAACGCGUGGGUAACCUGCCGUAUGCAGGGGGACAACAGCUGGAAACGGCUGCUAAUACCGCAUAAGCGCACGUGAAGGCAUCUUCAAGUGUGAAAAGAUUUAUCGGCAUACGAUGGACCCGCGUCUGAUUAGGCAGUUGGCAGGGUAACGGCCUACCAAACCGACGAUCAGUAGCCGGCCUGAGAGGGUGAACGGCCACAUUGGGACUGAGACACGGCCCAAACUCCUACGGGAGGCAGCAGUGGGGAAUAUUGCACAAUGGGGGAAACCCUGAUGCAGCGACGCCGCGUGAGUGAAGAAGUAUUUCGGUAUGUAAAGCUCUAUCAGCAGGGAAGAAAAUGACGGUACCUGACUAAGAAGCCCCGGCUAACUACGUGCCAGCCGCCGC
RNAcentral lists this ribosomal RNA (500 nucleotides) under uncultured bacterium. RNAcentral's name for it is "bacterial SSU rRNA". It matches the Rfam family "Bacterial small subunit ribosomal RNA", at positions 17 to 518 of the family's 1533-position model. The record is from RNAcentral.